This 1290-nucleotide long non-coding RNA is filed under the name Callithrix jacchus (white-tufted-ear marmoset). RNAcentral describes it as "lncRNA (ENSCJAG00000064888.2)". The record is from RNAcentral. Lineage: Eukaryota; Metazoa; Chordata; Mammalia; Primates; Cebidae.
AUGGAGGACUUGGUUUAUUUCCCAAACUUCAGUAGAGACAGCAUUUACCUAACUCAGGAGGCUGCAGCGGAGGGAAGUGCCCGAUUUCGGCUGCGGUGGCCGCCCACCCACCUCCCCACGCCCGGCAGCACCCUUUCCUUCCCCUCACCUGUCCUGAGCACCGGGUCCUGGGGGUCGGGUCGCCUCUCCUGGUUCUCAGUCCUGAUCUCACUUCAGGAGCUGUCGGGACGUCCAGCGCCUCUGGAGGCGGACGAAGAAGGCGGUGGGGUCGGGGGCGUCAGCGGGAAUGUCAGCCGCCGCGGGCAGCCGCGGUCUCCCUCCCCAUCCCAGGGCUCGUGCGGCCACCGCGGGCUGAUGAGUCAGGCGAGGGGGCGGGCGGCGGGGGGCGCGAGCUGGCGGAGGGUGGGGGUGCCCCUAUGCCCGCGCCGGGGGAAGGCGGGCACCGGUGGCCUCCGGACAGGGGACGCGCCGCUGCCGGUGCUCGACACGGGCCGCCGCCACCGGGGCGCAGAGUCCCGGCACGCCUGCCCUCGGAGGGCAUUGGGCGCCGCGAGCCGGGCAGGGGCGAGGGAGUCCCGGCUCAGGCGCCGCCGCCGCCGCGGCCAAGAAAGACAAAAGGAACCGGGAACUGGGAGGGGAAAAGUUUUCUGCUCGGCUCCAGAUGGAUUCCAGCCCCAAACCUCACGCCUUAAAGCCCCGAAAAGGCGGGUUGGGGGCGGGGGCCGGGGCGGGCUUCCAGGGGCGUCGCUGCGCGCCGGCGAUCCCGGACGGAGCCAAGCUCGCCGCCGCCCCAAACCUGUGGGAACCCCCGGUCCUGCCGACCCUCCUCCUGGAGGACGCGGCAGCAUCCAGUCCUCCCUCUGCGGGACCCCAAGCCGGCCGAUCCGCGCCCCGGCCACAAAGUUGCACUUGGAGAGACCGAAUCACCCUCAGACAAAACCCAUCUUUAGGAACAAAGUCCCGCUUCUAGGUGCUCUUACCCCGCGGGAAGGCCGGCGUGCGGAAGCGGACACACCCACCCGCGGGGCCCGCCGCUCGCUACUGCGGAACCACGGGUCAGGAGCCAGGCACCCGGCUCCCCCAGUUCUCCGGAGCGGCGGGGGAGCUCCAGCCGACUCGGGGUGUUCCCAGAGCAGGCGCCGCAGGACCCCGGCUCCACGCCCCUCGGACGCUUUUUCGCCAGAUGCCGCCCGGAGGGUCGGGGUCCCCCUGGCGGGCUGCGCGGGCGCUGCGCGAGCAAAACCAGACCGGGCCCGAGAACACCCGGCCAAGGCCCGCCCCGUCCACUAG